GGGUAUAUAGCUCAAGUGGUAGAGUGCGUGCUUAGCAUGCGUAAGAUCCUGGGUUCAAUAUCCAGUACCUCCA
RNAcentral lists this transfer RNA (73 nucleotides) under Camelus bactrianus (Bactrian camel). It matches the Rfam family "tRNA". Rfam says of the family: Transfer RNA (tRNA) molecules are approximately 80 nucleotides in length. Their secondary structure includes four short double-helical elements and three loops (D, anti-codon, and T loops). The record is from Rfam by way of RNAcentral. Lineage: Eukaryota; Metazoa; Chordata; Mammalia; Artiodactyla; Camelidae. RNAcentral also lists the same sequence under 1 other name.